CAUCCCUACGGGAGGCAGCAGUGAGGAAUAUUGGUCAAUGGACGAGAGUCUGAACCAGCCAAGUAGCGUGAAGGAUGACUGCCCUAUGGGCUGUAAACUUCUUUUAUAUGGGAAUAAAGGGAGGAACGUGUUCCUUUUUGUAUGUACCAUAUGAAUAAGCAUCGGCUAACUCCGUGCCAGCAGCCGCGGUAAUACGGAGGAUGCGAGCGUUAUCCGGAUUUAUUGGGUUUAAAGGGUGCGUAGGUGGUUAAUUAAGUCAGCGGUGAACGUUUGUGGCUGAACCAUAAAAUUGCCGUUGAAACUGG
RNAcentral lists this ribosomal RNA (305 nucleotides) under uncultured bacterium. RNAcentral describes it as "bacterial SSU rRNA". It matches the Rfam family "Bacterial small subunit ribosomal RNA", at positions 334 to 636 of the family's 1533-position model. The record is from RNAcentral.